RNAcentral lists this transfer RNA (72 nucleotides) under Camelus bactrianus (Bactrian camel). It matches the Rfam family "tRNA". Rfam says of the family: Transfer RNA (tRNA) molecules are approximately 80 nucleotides in length. Their secondary structure includes four short double-helical elements and three loops (D, anti-codon, and T loops). The record is from Rfam by way of RNAcentral. Lineage: Eukaryota; Metazoa; Chordata; Mammalia; Artiodactyla; Camelidae. RNAcentral also lists the same sequence under 2 other names.
GUGGAUAUAGCUCAGUGUUACAGCAUGUGCUUAGCAUGCACGAGAUCCUGGGUUCAAUCCCUAGUAGUUUCA